GACGAACGCUGGCGGCGUGCUUAACACAUGCAAGUCGAACGGUGAAGCUCCAGCUUGCUGGAGUGGAUCAGUGGCGAACGGGUGAGUAACACGUGAGCAACCUGCCCCUGACUCUGGAAUAAGCGCUGGAAACGGCGUCUAAUACUGGAUACGAGAAGGGUCCGCAUGGGCACUUUCUGGAAAGUUUUUCGGUUGGGGAUGGGCUCGCGGCCUAUCAGCUUGUUGGUGAGGUAAUGGCUCACCAAGGCGACGACGGGUAGCCGGCCUGAGAGGGCGACCGGACCCACUGGGACUGAGACAAGGCCCCGACCCCUACGGGAGGCAGCAGUGGGGAAUAGUGCACAAUGGGCGAAAGCCUGAUGCAGCGACGCCGCGUGAGGGAUGACGGCCUUCGGGUUGCAAACCUCUUUCAGCAGGGAAGAAGCGAAAGUGACGGUACCUGCAGAAGAAGCACCGGCUAACUACGUG
RNAcentral lists this ribosomal RNA (468 nucleotides) under uncultured bacterium. RNAcentral's name for it is "partial 16S ribosomal RNA". It matches the Rfam family "Bacterial small subunit ribosomal RNA", at positions 28 to 507 of the family's 1533-position model. The record is from RNAcentral.